UACGGAGGGGGCUAGCGUUGUUCGGAAUUACUGGGCGUAAAGCGCACGUAGGCGGCUUUGUAAGUUAGAGGUGAAAGCCCGGGGCUCAACUCCGGAAUUGCCUUUAAGACUGCAUCGCUAGAAUUGUGGAGAGGUAAGUGGAAUUCCGAGUGUAGAGGUGAAAUUCGUAGAUAUUCGGAAGAACACCAGUGGCGAAGGCGACUUACUGGACACAUAUUGACGCUGAGGUGCGAAAGCAUGGGGAGCGAACAGG
Molecule: ribosomal RNA, 253 nt
Filed under: uncultured bacterium
Lineage: Bacteria
Description: partial 16S ribosomal RNA
Rfam family: Bacterial small subunit ribosomal RNA
Source: RNAcentral